This 497-nucleotide ribosomal RNA is filed under the name uncultured bacterium. RNAcentral describes it as "partial 16S ribosomal RNA". It matches the Rfam family "Bacterial small subunit ribosomal RNA", at positions 28 to 507 of the family's 1533-position model. The record is from RNAcentral.
GAUGAACGCUGGCGGCGUGCCUAAUACAUGCCAGUCGAGCGAACAGACGAGGAGCUUGCUCCUCUGACGUUAGCGGCGGACGGGUGAGUAACACGUGGAUAACCUACCUAUAAGACUGGGAUAACUUCGGGAAACCGGAGCUAAUACCGGAUAAUAUAUUGAACCGCAUGGUUCAAUAGUGAAAGACGGUUUUGCUGUCACUUAUAGAUGGAUCCGCGCCGCAUUAGCUAGUUGGUAAGGUAACGGCUUACCAAGGCAACGAUGCGUAGCCGACCUGAGAGGGUGAUCGGCCACACUGGAACUGAGACACGGUCCAGACUCCUACGGGAGGCAGCAGUAGGGAAUCUUCCGCAAUGGGCGAAAGCCUGACGGAGCAACGCCGCGUGAGUGAUGAAGGUCUUCGGAUCGUAAAACUCUGUUGUUAGGGAAGAACAAAUGUGUAAGUAACUAUGCACGUCUUGACGGUACCUAAUCAGAAAGCCACGGCUAACUACGUG